RNAcentral lists this ribosomal RNA (347 nucleotides) under Pseudo-nitzschia delicatissima. RNAcentral describes it as "LSU rRNA". It matches the Rfam family "Eukaryotic large subunit ribosomal RNA", at positions 185 to 544 of the family's 3401-position model. The record is from RNAcentral. Lineage: Eukaryota; Bacillariophyta; Bacillariophyceae; Bacillariales; Bacillariaceae.
GUUCCUUGGAAAAGGACAGCUGAGAGGGUGAGACUCCCGUCCGCCUGGUAGAAUGAGUCUUUGUCAACGAGUCGAGUUGUUUGGGAUUGCAGCUCUAAUUUGGUGGUAAAUUCCAUCUAAAGCUAAAUAUUGGUGGGAGGCCGAUAGCGUACAAGUACCGUGAGGGAAAGAUGCAAAGAACUUUGAAAAGAGAGUUAAAGAGUACCUGAAAUUGCUGAAACGGAAGCGAAGGAAACCAGUGUUUGUUGGUUCAUAUUUCCCUGGCCACUUGUGGUUUGGGCGCUGUGAGCUUGCGUGGGUUUGCUUUGGUUGAUCCCUUUGGAAGAGCGCAGUCAGAGUUGAUGUCU